Molecule: long non-coding RNA, 405 nt
Filed under: Gallus gallus (chicken)
Lineage: Eukaryota; Metazoa; Chordata; Aves; Galliformes; Phasianidae
Source: RNAcentral
GGCUCACUUAACCCUGGUGCUCCACACAGAAAAAUCAACUCCUUAAUCUGGCCCAGGUUUGCAUGAGUGCUUAUUUGGUAGGAUUGAGAAGAAGGAACAAGAAGAUGAACGAGGCAGGACUGCAUCUUUAAUGGUAUGCUGAAUAUGCAGUGUGGACAUGUGAGUUCUAGUGCUCUGGAGAACGCAUUGCACCAGAAUGGCUUUUCCUGUGAAAGAGGUCGUAACUGCAUCCAGGGAAAUCAUUAAUGGGAGUUCCUCUUAUCUUUCUUCAUGGAAGGAAAAUGUAUCCGUUUCUGUGCUCAAGUGCUGCUUCUGCAUGAGCCCUGCAGGAAUCCUGGCUGCUACUGCAGUUUCCUGCAGUGCCUGAGGUAAGGAGUCACAGCGGUUGCCGUGCAUUACCAUCCC